CCCUUAGAUGUUCUGGGCCGCACGCGCGCUACACUGACGAAUGCAACGAGCUUAUAACCUUGGCCGAAAGGUCUGGGUAAUCUCCAAAUUUCGUCGUGAUGGGGAUAGAUUAUUGCAAUUAUUAAUCUUCAACGAGGAAUGCCUAGUAAGCGCAAGUCAUCAGCUUGCGUUGAGUACGUCCCUGCCCUUUGUACACACCGCCCGUCGCUCCUACCGAUUGAAUGGUCCGGUGAAGCGUUCGGACCGUGGCCUUUGGACGGUUCGCCGUCUGUUGGCUGCGGGAAGUUCGUUAAACCUUAUCAUUUAGAGGAAGGAGAAGUCGUAACA
This 327-nucleotide ribosomal RNA is filed under the name uncultured eukaryote. RNAcentral describes it as "partial 18S ribosomal RNA". It matches the Rfam family "Eukaryotic small subunit ribosomal RNA", at positions 1470 to 1796 of the family's 1831-position model. The record is from RNAcentral.